CUACGGGUCGCACCAGUGGGGAAUAUUGGACAAUGGGGGAAACCCUGAUCCAGCAAUGCCGCGUGUGUGAAGAAGGCCUGCGGGUCGUAAAGCACUUUCGGUUGGGAGGACUGCCUCUAGCACUAAUAUUGUUGGAAGUUGACGUUACCUUCAGAAGAAGCACCGGCUAACUCCGUGCCAGCAGCCGCGGUAAUACGGAGGGGGCAAGCGUUAAUCGGAAUUACUGGGCGUAAAGCGCGCGUAGGCGGCUAGAUCAGUCGGGUGUGAAAGCCCCGGGCUUAACCUGGGAACUGCAUCCGAUACUGUCUAGCUUGAGUACAGGAGAGGAGAGUGGAAUUCCACAUGUAACGGUGAAAUGCGUAGAUAUGUGGAGGAACACCAAUGGCGAAGGCAGCUCUCUGGCCUGAUACUGACGCUGAGGUGCGAAAGCGUGGGGAGCAAACAGGAUUAGAUACCCUCGUAGUC
RNAcentral lists this ribosomal RNA (465 nucleotides) under uncultured bacterium. Its description in RNAcentral is "partial 16S ribosomal RNA". It matches the Rfam family "Bacterial small subunit ribosomal RNA", at positions 339 to 795 of the family's 1533-position model. The record is from RNAcentral.